This 73-nucleotide transfer RNA is filed under the name Blastosporella zonata. Its description in RNAcentral is "tRNA-His". It matches the Rfam family "tRNA". From Rfam's summary of the family: Transfer RNA (tRNA) molecules are approximately 80 nucleotides in length. Their secondary structure includes four short double-helical elements and three loops (D, anti-codon, and T loops). Lineage: Eukaryota; Fungi; Basidiomycota; Agaricomycetes; Agaricales; Lyophyllaceae. The record is from RNAcentral.
GGUAAAUUUAGUUUAAUUGGCAAAAUUACGUCUUGUGGCGACGAAGUUCAGAGUUCAAGUCUCUGAUUUUACC